GACGGAGGAUGCAAGCGUUAUCCGGAAUUAUUGGGCGUAAAGCGUCCGCAGGUGGUGGCUCAAGUCUGUCGUUAAAGCUCGGGGCUCAACCCCGAAAAGGCGGUGGAAACUGGGUUACUAGAGUACGGCAGGGGUAGAGGGAAUUCUCAGUGUAGCGGUGAAAUGCGUAGAGAUUGGGAAGAACACCAGUGGCGAAAGCGCUCUACUGGACCUGUACUGACACUCAAGGACGAAAGCUAGGGGAGCAAAAGGG
This 253-nucleotide ribosomal RNA is filed under the name uncultured bacterium. Its description in RNAcentral is "partial 16S ribosomal RNA". It matches the Rfam family "Bacterial small subunit ribosomal RNA", at positions 524 to 776 of the family's 1533-position model. The record is from RNAcentral.